AGUGAACGCUGGCGGCGUGCCUAAUACAUGCAAGUCGAACGGAGUGUCGCACGGGGGAGUGUUAUAUAGCUAAACUGUCCCUUUCUGGAGGACAACAGAUAGAAAUGACUGCUAAAACUCCAUAGCAAGGGAUGAGACUCUAUCGUAUCAGCUAGUCGGUGGGGUAACGUCGGACCGAGGGAAUGACGCGUAACUGGUCAGAGAGGAUGAGCAGUCACAUUGGAACUGAGACACGGUGGAGAAUCCUACGGGAGGGAGCAGAAGGGAAUAGUGCGCAAUGGGGGAAGCCAUGACGGAGCAACGGGGCGUGGAGGAUGUGAAUCUGGGGGGAGGGAACUCGUUUUAAUAGGGAAGCGGUACCUGACGAAUAAGCACCGGCUAACUCCGUGCCAGCAGCCGCGGUAAUUC
This 408-nucleotide ribosomal RNA is filed under the name uncultured bacterium. Its description in RNAcentral is "partial 16S ribosomal RNA". It matches the Rfam family "Bacterial small subunit ribosomal RNA", at positions 29 to 526 of the family's 1533-position model. The record is from RNAcentral.